UCCCUUGUGGCUUACACAGUAAAGAAUCUGCUUGCAAUGCGGGAGACCCAGGUUCGAUCCUGGGAUGGGAA
Molecule: transfer RNA, 71 nt
Filed under: Bos taurus (domestic cattle)
Lineage: Eukaryota; Metazoa; Chordata; Mammalia; Artiodactyla; Bovidae
Rfam family: tRNA
About the family: Transfer RNA (tRNA) molecules are approximately 80 nucleotides in length. Their secondary structure includes four short double-helical elements and three loops (D, anti-codon, and T loops).
Source: Rfam by way of RNAcentral